RNAcentral lists this long non-coding RNA (318 nucleotides) under Lactuca sativa (garden lettuce). RNAcentral's name for it is "long non-coding RNA (LSAT_LNC003010)". Lineage: Eukaryota; Viridiplantae; Streptophyta; Magnoliopsida; Asterales; Asteraceae. The record is from RNAcentral.
AUUCUGUCGAUUGUAUCUGAGGCGGCGAAACUGAGCUUGAAGAAGAAAGGAAUGCACAUUCCUCCAUGGAGGAAAUUCGAGUACAUGAGAUCCAAAUGGCUGUCGGCACACAUCAGAACCCUACCAUCACCGUCGCCGUCAGUACUACCUCCACCACCACCAACUCCACCUCCAACACCAGACACCAACGCCGCCGUGAAGCAGAUAUUUUCAGAAGCCACAACGGAACAGAUAGGUCCGUCACCGCCGUUCGAGUCCGAGUGCGGAGUUUUUGAACUUAUUUUUGGAGAAGAAACGACGGCGUCGAAGUCAACGGAG